RNAcentral lists this ribosomal RNA (233 nucleotides) under uncultured bacterium. RNAcentral describes it as "partial 16S ribosomal RNA". It matches the Rfam family "Bacterial small subunit ribosomal RNA", at positions 103 to 334 of the family's 1533-position model. The record is from RNAcentral.
CGGGUGAGUAACGCGUGAGGAACCUGCCUCAAAGAGGGGGACAACAGUUGGAAACGACUGCUAAUACCGCAUAAGCCCACAGCUCGGCAUCGAGCAGAGGGAAAAGGAGCAAUCCACUUUGAGAUGGCCUCGCGUCCGAUUAGCUAGUUGGUGAGGUAACGGCCCACCAAGGCGACGAUCGGUAGCCGGACUGAGAGGUUGAACGGCCACAUUGGGACUGAGACACGGCCCAG